RNAcentral lists this ribosomal RNA (758 nucleotides) under uncultured Granulicatella sp. RNAcentral's name for it is "bacterial SSU rRNA". It matches the Rfam family "Bacterial small subunit ribosomal RNA", at positions 90 to 834 of the family's 1533-position model. Lineage: Bacteria; Bacillati; Bacillota; Bacilli; Lactobacillales; Carnobacteriaceae. The record is from RNAcentral.
AUCUAGUGGCGAACGGGUGAGUAACACGUGGGUAACCUGCCCAUCAGAGGGGGAUAACAUCCGGAAACGGAUGCUAAAACCGCAUAGGUCUUCGAGCUGCAUGGCUUGAAGAGGAAAAGAGGCGCAAGCUUCUGCUGAUGGAUGGACCCGCGGUGCAUUAGCUAGUUGGUGAGGUAACGGCUCACCAAGGCCGUGAUGCAUAGCCGACCUGAGAGGGUGAUCGGCCACAUUGGGACUGAGACACGGCCCAAACUCCUACGGGAGGCAGCAGUAGGGAAUCUUCCGCAAUGGACGCAAGUCUGACGGAGCAACGCCGCGUGAGUGAAGAAGGUUUUCGGAUCGUAAAACUCUGUUGUUAGAGAAGAACAAGUGCUAGAGUAACUGUUAGCGCCUUGACGGUAUCUAACCAGAAAGCCACGGCUAACUACGUGCCAGCAGCCGCGGUAAUACGUAGGUGGCAAGCGUUGUCCGGAUUUAUUGGGCGUAAAGCGAGCGCAGGCGGUUCCUUAAGUCUGAUGUGAAAGCCCCCGGCUCAACCGGGGAGGGUCAUUGGAAACUGGGGAACUUGAGUGCAGAAGAGGAGAGUGGAAUUCCAUGUGUAGCGGUGAAAUGCGUAGAUAUAUGGAGGAACACCAGUGGCGAAGGCGACUCUCUGGUCUGUAACUGACGCUGAGGCUCGAAAGCGUGGGUAGCAAACAGGAUUAGAUACCCUGGUAGUCCACGCCGUAAACGAUGAGUGCUAAGUGUUGGAGGGUUUC